CCUACGGGAGGCAGCAGUGGGGAAUAUCGCACAAUGGGCGAAAGCCUGAUGCAGCAACGCCGCGUGAGGGACGACGGCCUUCGGGUUGUAAACCUCUUUUAGCAGGGAAGAAGCGAAAGUGACGGUACCUGCAGAAAAAGCACCGGCUAACUACGUGCCAGCAGCCGCGGUAAU
Molecule: ribosomal RNA, 174 nt
Filed under: uncultured Nocardioides sp.
Lineage: Bacteria; Bacillati; Actinomycetota; Actinomycetes; Propionibacteriales; Nocardioidaceae
Description: partial 16S ribosomal RNA
Rfam family: Bacterial small subunit ribosomal RNA
Source: RNAcentral